CAGCAGCCGCGGUAAUACGUAGGUGGCAAGCGUUGUCCGGAAUUAUUGGGCGUAAAGGGCUCGCAGGCGGUUUCUUAAGUCUGAUGUGAAAGCCCCCGGCUCAACCGGGGAGGGUCAUUGGAAACUGGGAAACUUGAGUGCAGAAGAGGAGAGUGGAAUUCCACGUGUAGCGGUGAAAUGCGUAGAGAUGUGGAGGAACACCAGUGGCGAAGGCGACUCCCUGGUCUGUAACUGACGCUGAGGAGCGAAAGCGUGGGGAGCGAACGGGAUUAGAUACCCGAGUAGUCCCUGUCUCUUAUAC
This 301-nucleotide ribosomal RNA is filed under the name uncultured bacterium. RNAcentral's name for it is "partial 16S ribosomal RNA". It matches the Rfam family "Bacterial small subunit ribosomal RNA", at positions 509 to 807 of the family's 1533-position model. The record is from RNAcentral.